GAUGAACGCUGGCGGCGUGCCUAAUACAUGCAAGUCGAGCGAACGGACGAGAAGCUUGCUUCUCUGAUGUUAGCGGCGGGCGGGUGAGUAACACGUGGAUAACCUACCUAUAAGACUGGGAUAACUUCGGGAAACCGGAGCUAAUACCGGAUAAUAUUUUGAACCGCAUGGUUCAAAAGUGAAAGACGGUCUUGCUGUCACUUAUAGAUGGAUCCGCGCUGCAUUAGCUAGUUGGUAAGGUAACGGCUUACCAAGGCAACGAUGCAUAGCCGACCUGAGAGGGUGAUCGGCCACACUGGAACUGAGACACGGUCCAGACUCCUACGGGAGGCAGCAGUAGGGAAUCUUCCGCAAAGGGCGAAAGCCUGACGGAGCAACGCCGCGUGAGUGAUGAAGGUCUUCGGAUCGUAAAACUCUGUUAUUAGGGAAGAACAUAUGUGUAAGUAACUGUGCACAUCUUGACGGUACCUAAUCAGAAAGCCACGGCUAACUACGUG
Molecule: ribosomal RNA, 497 nt
Filed under: uncultured bacterium
Lineage: Bacteria
Description: partial 16S ribosomal RNA
Rfam family: Bacterial small subunit ribosomal RNA
Source: RNAcentral